CCUUUUGCAAUCAUUUUAAGAGUCUCCAUCAUGUGUCCUACGGAGAAAGGGCACAAAAAAGCCUGCUGCAGACAAGAUGAAAGGCAGCCUUGAAGUAAUGGGGACAAAUUGGGGCAUUUACCAUUUCCCACAUAUGGAUACCUGCCAUGCUCUUGUCCUUCAAUAAACUGCAGCAGGUGCUUCUCCUGCACUUCCGCAUUUUCCCACUAGAGGGCACAGCGCUCACGAUGGAGCAGUUGAAAAUCGCAGCAGGGAGCAAAUUUGCAGAAAGCUUGAUAAGAGCCAUCUUUUCAAAACGUCGAGGCCCAAAGCUAAAACCGGCUGUUUGUAUUUCUCCACGGGCCAUGGGGACUCUCUCGAAAUGUGAACAGAUAUGUCAUGUUGACAUCUCCAGUGGUUCAUCCAGGUUGGCCUCUGUCGGAUUAACUCUGAGUGACGCAGUAGAUGGACUCCAGAAUGCCGGAAACCCUCAAAACACAAAGAGCCUCUGACACAGUUGGCACAGGGCUGGACAUAUCAGUGGGACAUGGAGGUCCCGUGCCAAGCGAUCCACACUGCAGCCUGGUGUCCUGGCAGAGGAGCCGCCCAACCACCUCCCCGGCACACAGCACAGCCCUCCACCACCACAGAGACGUGUUGCUGCAGCAGUCAACAUGGGACACAACCAACAGCCAAAGAGAAAACAGAACUGGCUGAGACUAACAGUUCUGAGCGAGGCAGAGGGCAGAUAAGGUCAAGCAGCAAUGAACACAGGCAAGGCAGCAGGACGGACCGACGGACAAACGGAGGAGGCAGACAGGCAGUGUGACUGACAGACAGACAGAUGCUAUCUCCCCUGCAUCUCAAGCUCUGGGGCCUUCUAUCAGUCGCCCACAAACAGGCUAGCACUGACGUACACACACACACACACACACACACGCGCACAUCCACACGCUCACACACAUCCACACAUACAUACUGAACAUUCUGCCUGUGCUCCUCUCUUCCUUAAGAUAAGGGCCAAUAUCAGUGACUGAACAUAUUUUAUGUAUGAAAUGCAGCUCGAGACAAGCAGUCAAGCAUUAGGUUUGUUUAAAUAGGUGAUGUUUAUCGGGUAUUCUUUUUCAAGACAGAGUUUGACAUUGUUCUGUAUCCUCUCCCCCACCCUGUCUCUCUCCUGCCUUGCCAGCCCUUCUAUUGUGCUAUUUGGUUCCCCUGCUGCUGCUUGGAGAGGCUCCAGUCUGUGCAGCUGGAUGAAUUAAUAUAGUAUUUUAAUUAUGUCUCCAGCCCUAUGGCCUGGCUUCAGAGGGCAAGUCUGGCCUUAAAACAUUCUUGGCCUGGAAUCAACUCGCCCUCUCUCUCUCUCUCUCUUUCUUUCUUUCUCUCUCUCUUCCUGCCAUUUACAAAUCUAUUUUGCAGCUGCACACGGCAACAGAUUAUGUGGCCCCGAGAUUUGACUCGUCAGAAGGAAUGACACUUUUCUCCCUCUCGCCCAGCAACCCCUCCUCUGCAGGUUGUUGUUCGCAUCAGAUAUUGGAUGACUUCCCAUUUAGUGCUCAGGCUAUGGUUGUCAGUUUUUUUUUCUUCGUUUUUUUUUUUUGCCCAAACAGUUUUGUGACGAUUGAAAUAAGAUCUUAUAAAUGCCAUGAGGCUGGCUGACACAAUAGUUUGAGUCAGACUUUUUUUCCCGCAGAUGGGAAUGGUAAUGCCUGUGUUAACGCCAGCGAGGGGAAAAUGCAGUUUAAUUCAGUGCAGUGAAGGCACCCGUGCUCAAUCUAUCAUGCUAAUGAUGAUUCAGUUAGCAGCCAGGCAAUGUUUAUGUUGCUUCUCAAUGAAACGGAGGCCGUGUAAUUAUGAUAAGGUGCAACCACCAGGGUGCCCAUACUAAUAGUAGGGGGGACUAUAGAGGUAAUGUACUUAUUUAGUGUGUUCAAAAUGUACCAAAAUAGUUGCAGUAACAAACUUAGCUG
Molecule: RNA transcript, 1949 nt
Organism: Sardina pilchardus (European sardine)
Lineage: Eukaryota; Metazoa; Chordata; Actinopteri; Clupeiformes; Clupeidae
Exons: 5
Source: RefSeq, a predicted model, not a curated record